GAUCAAUCACUUGUGCCUCAUAGCCCGCAGCUUGAACCUCUAUCUGUAUUUGAUUUGGAUAGUCAAUCACUUGUUCUUUACUCUGAUAGUCAACCUGUUGCCGUCUACAAGCAAUGGAAUACUCUAAAUCAGGGAACUGAAUUCGGGCAGCAGAACUAUAUUGGUGGUAACAGUUCAGAAGUUCUUUUACUUGGAGAUUCAGCAACGUCAUAUCCC
Long non-coding RNA from Erigeron canadensis, 216 nucleotides. RefSeq lists it as uncharacterized. Lineage: Eukaryota; Viridiplantae; Streptophyta; Magnoliopsida; Asterales; Asteraceae. The transcript has 3 exons. The record is from RefSeq and is a predicted model, not a curated record.